GGGGCUAUGUGUCCCAUAGUACCUCUCACAGUUGUGGUCACAUGCGAGUCCCUGUGAUCUAAUAGCUUUGCCAAUCCAAAAUCUCCUACAACAGCUUCACAGUAGUCAUCAAGCAGUAUAUUUGCAGCCUUAACAUCCCUGUGAAUUAUCUUGGGGUCACACUGCUCGUGCAAGUACAAUAAACCUCUUGCAGCUCCCAAGGCAAUUCUUUUCCUUGUGCCCCAGUCCAAGGUUGGUUUGGCCUUGAAACGAGUAGCGACGCUCCCAUUGGACAUGUAAGGGUAAAUCAACAGCCU
RNAcentral lists this unclassified non-coding RNA (296 nucleotides) under Hevea brasiliensis (rubber tree). Lineage: Eukaryota; Viridiplantae; Streptophyta; Magnoliopsida; Malpighiales; Euphorbiaceae. The record is from RNAcentral.